UUGUCUACUGACCCAGUUGCCUCGGCGCGCCGCUCCCUAGUGGACGGUCGGAGGCCCUUGGACCCAGCGUCCAUGUGGCCCUGGCCAGUGCGCGCCGGCGGACAGUCUAAAAUCUUUAUAUAUUGGCCGUCUGAGCGUAUAAAGCAAAUCAAUUAAAACUUUCAACAACGGAUCUCUUGGUUCCGGCAUCGAUGAAGAACGCAGCGAAAUGCGAUAAGUAAUGUGAAUUGCAGAAUUCCGUGAAUCAUCGAAUCUUUGAACGCACAUUGCGCCCCCUGGUAUUCCGGGGGGCAUGCCUGUUCGAGCGUCAUUUCAACCCUCAAGCCCGGCUUGUGUGAUGGACGAACGUCCUGCCUUUAGGGGCGGGACGCGUCCGAAAAGCAGUGGCUAGGCCGCGACUUCGGCGCCUGAGCGAAUGGGAUUUCCAGCGCUUCUAGGACCGACCGGCCCCUAGCCUCCAAACAAACAGUCCUGACGGACUUCUUAGGUUGACCUCGGAUCAGGUAGGGAUACCCGCUGAACUUAAGCAUAUCAAUAAGCGGA
This 543-nucleotide ribosomal RNA is filed under the name Arthroderma uncinatum. RNAcentral describes it as "eukaryotic LSU rRNA". The stretch from base 157 to 310 matches the Rfam family "5.8S ribosomal RNA". Lineage: Eukaryota; Fungi; Ascomycota; Eurotiomycetes; Onygenales; Arthrodermataceae. The record is from RNAcentral.